RNAcentral lists this long non-coding RNA (224 nucleotides) under Medicago truncatula (barrel medic). RNAcentral's name for it is "lncRNA gene27918". Lineage: Eukaryota; Viridiplantae; Streptophyta; Magnoliopsida; Fabales; Fabaceae. The record is from RNAcentral.
AAAAUGUGUGUCUCAUGGCCGUCCAAAGAAGUAAAGGCAGCAACGCAGCUCUACAAGGAGAUGGAAUAUGAGACAAGCACCAACGGAGGAGAGAAGACCGUCAACGUCGAUAAACAUCAAUAUGCAACGUUUACUUGGGAGUUAUACAAACACUCAACUAGUUUGCCCCCUUUCAAGUUGGAGAUUUGGAUUAAAAUCUCCCGUCACAAAAUACACUAACUAAA